UUGCAACCAUGUCAUGUUGAAACACUAGUUCUUGUACAAUCACUGAAGUUAAGUAACAUUAGGCUUAGUCAGUACCUAGAUGGGUGAUUGCUUGGGAAUACCAGGUACUGUAAG
Acanthosepion pharaonis is the source of this 114-nucleotide non-coding RNA. Lineage: Eukaryota; Metazoa; Mollusca; Cephalopoda; Sepiida; Sepiidae. The record is from the annotation of a GenBank genome assembly.